UUUCAUUGGGGUAGUUUCUUUUGCUGUGUCUUCAAAUUUACUUUUUUUAAAAUGAUUGUCUACUUUGCUGUUAAUCCCAUCCUGUAUUUUUUAAAUCUAAACCAUCGUGAUUUUUAUCUCUAGAAGUUCAAUUUGGGUCUGUUCAUAUCUUCCAUGCCUCUACUUCACAUGUUCUGUCUUUCCUCUAGCUUCUUGAGCACAUGGAAUACAGUUAUACUAACAGUUUUUAUGUUGUCGUCUACUAAUUCUGUUAUCUGUGUCAGUUCUGGAUCAGCUUCAACUGAUUGAUUUUUUCCCCCUCAUUAUGUUUGUGUUUUCCUGCUUCUUUGCAUGACUGGUAAUUUUUGAUUGAAUGCCAAACAUUACGGCUUUUACCUUGGUUGCUGGAUAUUAUUGUAUUCCUAUAAAGAUUCUUGAGCUUUUUUCAGGAACACAGUUAAGUAUUUGAAAUAAUUUUGAUCCUUCUGAGCCUUGCUUUUAAGCUUUAUUAGGUGGGACCACAGCAGCAUUGGAUCUAAGGUUAAUUUUCACACUACUGGACUCAUCCAGAAGAUCCAGGAUAACCUGGCUAUUUUAAGGGUCUGUGAUUUCUUGUCACAGCAUCUUGAUCAGGAUUCUCCAAGAAGCUCUUGUUCAUGAAGAUUUUGGAGCCUACUGAUGUCCACUGGCCCAUCCUCAGAGGACUGGAAGCUUCCCUAUCUCUAUGCUUACCUCAACCUCGUCACACCCGUCUCCAGAACUCCACUCAGGCCCUGCUGCUCCUCCCACCUGUACGGUUUGCAUUCACGGUGUGCGGUCCCGAGGCCCUGGUGGGCAGCUCAGAGUCAGUGGGAAGUGGGAUGUCAGCAGGCUUGUCUGGGAGCUGCUGCCUCUGUGAAGGAGCUGGGCUUGGCGAGCAGCAGACAUCACCCACAAGGCCUCAUCCCAGCCCGGCCACAGGGGCUCCAAAGAAAUCACAAGGUAAACAGUAGAGAUUUUUCUCAGGCCCAAAUUAUAGCCUAGGGGAACAAUCCAGAAAGGCUAUUUUUUCUCUAACUAUGACUUCAGCUGUACUACCUAUGUCAGGUCUCUGUUCCCUCCCUUGGACGAUCUCUCUAACACCUCUGAGGGCCUUGUUAGGAGCAAUGACUCACUUUCUGGCACUACGUGUCCAGUUCAAGCUGAGCUCCCUUCUCAGAGCCCACUUGGCCCCUUUGCCCUACAGAUAACACAGCUGCAGCCUGUUCCUGCCACUGUCUCUUUCUGUCCCCUCGAGCCUGCCCCAGCCAGCCCACCACCAUGAUGGGUAGUGAUGGGCGAGUGGGAGGAAGCGAAGAGCUGGAGCAACCUGUCAGCAGAGAGGCCGGCAGAACAGACUUCUAGGGGCCGACCCUGUGGCCGAGUGGUUAAGUUCACGUGCUCCACUGCAGGCAGCCCAGUGUUUCGUCAGUUCGAAUCCUGCUCAUCGAGCCAUGCUGAGGCGGGAUCCCACAUGCCACAACUAGAAGGACCCACACCUAAGAAUAUACAACUAUGUACCUGAGG
This 1524-nucleotide long non-coding RNA is filed under the name Equus caballus (horse). Its description in RNAcentral is "lncRNA (ENSECAG00000053458.1)". The record is from RNAcentral. Lineage: Eukaryota; Metazoa; Chordata; Mammalia; Perissodactyla; Equidae.